This 113-nucleotide microRNA precursor is filed under the name Picea abies (Norway spruce). Its description in RNAcentral is "miR11566 stem-loop (pab-MIR11566)". The record is from miRBase by way of RNAcentral. Lineage: Eukaryota; Viridiplantae; Streptophyta; Pinopsida; Pinales; Pinaceae.
AUUACUACCAGGCCGACCUCUUGAACUAAUACAUCAAUUUUAUUACCAGGCCAAGAGGUUUGCCCUGGUAGUAAAAUUGAUGUAUGAGUUCAAGAGGUCAGCCCAGUAGUAAU